CCAUGACUAUUCUAUUUAUUCAAAGAAGGAAAAAUUUUAAAUACCACCUAUGUGAUGUCACGUUUUCUUAUUUUAGUAUCGUAUGAUUUAAAAUGUAUCACUUUAGUACCAUAUAGUUUCGUUUUUUUUUUCGUUAUUUCCUCCGUUAGUUUUUUUGUUAAAUCAAUGACGAUGUUGAAACCAUAGGGUAAUAAAGUUAAAAUUUGGUAAAAUCACAGGGUGUUAAAGUAAAAAUUUGGUAAAAUUACAGGAUACUAAAGUGAAUAUUCGAUAAAACAUAGGUGAGGUAUCUGAAGUUUUUUGUAUACGAUUUUAAUAGAAAGUUAACAGGAGUGCUGACGAAAAAAAUAAAAUAAAAUCACAGGAUAAUAAAAUAAUACAUUUUAAAGGCCAAAUUAUAUAAAACUUUUCUGUUAAAACCCGUUUUUUCACUUUCCUUCAUGUCAUUUAAAAAUCUAUACUUUUUUUUCUUGUAAAAUAAAAAAUGUUCUCAGGGGGUACGGUGUUAACUAUAAUGACAAAAUGAUCAAUUUGCCCCUCAACAGGCGGCAAUGUUAAGAAGAGGAGACUGAGGAUAUUUUUUAUAUAAAAAAAUAUAUAAUAAUUUUUAUAAACGGAAUCCUAACGGAGCACUAACGGCAGGGAAUGAAGUGAACAUUUUAUUUUAUAAGAAGACAAAGUGUAGACUUUUAAAUGAUAGGUGAAAAAGUAAAAAAGCGGGUAUUGAUAGAAAGGUUUUCUGAAAUUUAGCUUAUUUUAAACUAUAGGGUACUCAGAUGAGAAA
This 784-nucleotide long non-coding RNA is filed under the name Ananas comosus (pineapple). RNAcentral's name for it is "long non-coding RNA (ACOM_LNC007847)". The record is from RNAcentral. Lineage: Eukaryota; Viridiplantae; Streptophyta; Magnoliopsida; Poales; Bromeliaceae.